CCUACGAGUGGCAGCAGUGGGGAAUCUUGCGCCAUGGGCGAACGCCUGCCGCAGCGACGCCGCGUGAGGGCUGAAGGUCUUCGGAUCGUAAACCUCUGUCAGCAGGGAAGAACGGUCACUUUGCUAAUCAGCAGUGAAUUGACGGUACCUGCAAAGGAAGCACCGGCUAACUCCGUUCCAGCAGCCGCGGUAAUACGGAGGGUGCGAGCGUUAAUCGGAAUUACUUGGCGUAAAGCGCUCGUAGGCGGUAUGGCAAGUAAAGGGUGAAAGCCCCGCGCUCAACGUGGGCACUGACUUUGAAAAUGGCAAACUGGAGUGUGUGAGAGGAUAGUGGAAUUCCAGGUGUAGGAGUGAAAUCCGUAGAUAUCUGGAGGAACAUCAGUGGCGAAGGCGACUAUCUGGCACAUAACUGACGCUGAGGAGCGAAAGCGUGGGUAGCAAACAGGAUUAGAUACCCCAGUAGUC
RNAcentral lists this ribosomal RNA (465 nucleotides) under uncultured bacterium. RNAcentral's name for it is "partial 16S ribosomal RNA". It matches the Rfam family "Bacterial small subunit ribosomal RNA", at positions 338 to 795 of the family's 1533-position model. The record is from RNAcentral.